GGUAUUGAAUAAUUCUGAAGCAUUCUGUUAAUAUUGGGAUAUUGGCUCUAGUUCUGCAAUGAAAUAGUGGAUGAGAAACGAAAGUGAUGUAGACUUUUACAAUGAAAAUCUAUAAAUACAAGCCUGUGUCUUCAUCAAGUAAAAAAUUAAAAUGAGUUAUUUUUAAGACACUUGGUAUUUUAUUUUUUGUUACUUUUGUUACUUUGUUACUUUCCUAGGAAAGGCAAAUCUCAUUACAUUUGAGAGAUCAAUUCUAAAGCUUCUCCACAUAUUUUAGGAAAGCAAACAAUCGCUCUAUUUUGCUUUUCAUUUCCAAUCUCUUUUCAAGCUCUCUUUCAAAAACAAAUUUAGAUGAACCCAAUUACUUCCUAUAUACAUCCAGUUAUCGAUUCUUUGUACCACUGUAGCUGAACAUUGCUAGAGAAAAUUUCAGGUUACUCACCUGUUGGUUCCUCAAACAUGCCUGACCUAGAAGAACUGCACAUGUUGUUGCUCCAUCUAACUUCAACUCUCACCUGCCUAACUCAUACUAUUCUCUGGUUAUAGCUCUAUGUUACCUCUGGAGAGUUUGACACCCAAUAUAAGAGUAAGAAGCCCUAGUACUUCCAAGUAAAGAGUUUGAAAACAACCAUCUUACGCCAUGCUGCUUUCCAGUGGAAAAGACCAUAUCACUCCCUUGCUUCAAAUCCAUCUGCAGAGUUGCUUCUUCCAGGAAGCCAAUCAUGAGCCUCCUAGGCCUUGACAAUGAAAAAGACAAGGGUUGGAGUGCUCCUCAAUCUACUGAACUGAUGCUAAUUAAAAUUACCUCCAAUAAUGCAAAAUUUUAAAACUAGACAUUCUCUCAAAAAUUUAGGGCAUUAGAAAACUAUUUUGUUAACUUAUUUUUACCACUAGACCAUGGUGUAUGCCUGCAAUCAUAACUACGCAGGAGGCUGAGGCCAGGGAUAACGUGAAAUCAAGAAUUUUGAAUUUUCCAAAGACUGAAUUUGCACAUACAGUUCUACAUUAUUAUAUUCCUUGCCUACUACUUUGCCUAGGGAGAGUUAAACUAACCAGUUAAAAAAUGGAGAUGCUAAAUACCGUUACUGCAAUACUACGUGAAAAAGAAUUAAAAAUACAAUUAAUUCCUUCUUCAUUCACUAGGUUCAAUCCAAGUGAAAGGAGACUUGUAGGAAAGGAUAAAAAAUACAAGGAUUAUCAAAAGUAGACUCUUUCCAGUUACUCUGCUUAGCUCCUUGAAUUGAAACAAAACAAAUACAAAAAAAGACAAAAUAUCAAUCUACUGCCUAUUCAUUUAUG
Molecule: long non-coding RNA, 1299 nt
Organism: Canis lupus familiaris (dog)
Lineage: Eukaryota; Metazoa; Chordata; Mammalia; Carnivora; Canidae
Exons: 4
Source: RefSeq, a predicted model, not a curated record